UACGGAGGAUUCGAGCGUUAUCCGGAUUUAUUGGGUUUAAAGGGUGCGCAGGCGGGUUGAUAAGUCAGUGGUGAAAGGUUUACGCUUAACGUAGACAUUGCCAUUGAAACUGUCGAUCUUGAGUACAAAUGAGGUAGGCGGAAUGUGUUGUGUAGCGGUGAAAUGCAUAGAUAUGACACAGAACACCGAUUGCAAAGGCAGCUUACUGGGAUGUAACUGACGCUCAGGAACGAAAGCGUGGGGAUCAAACAGG
RNAcentral lists this ribosomal RNA (253 nucleotides) under uncultured bacterium. RNAcentral describes it as "partial 16S ribosomal RNA". It matches the Rfam family "Bacterial small subunit ribosomal RNA", at positions 524 to 776 of the family's 1533-position model. The record is from RNAcentral.